UGAAUAAACGCACUACAUAAAAAUAAAAUAAAAUAUGUUUCAACCCAAGCGCCACAUACCUCUCGAUUUUUGUUAAAAACCGAGGGAAUUUUUUUUAAUACAGAAAAUGUUAAUAUAAGUUAAGUUUAGGGUAAAAUCUAAUUAAUGAGUGCUUUUAUAGUAAAAUAUGAUAAUCUAAUCUCUUGGUUAUUAAAUAUAAUUGAAUGAUUAGAUCAUUAAUUAAAAAAUUAAAAAUAAAAUAAAAAUAAAGGUUCAUGGAUUGUUGG
Molecule: long non-coding RNA, 266 nt
Filed under: Lathyrus oleraceus (garden pea)
Lineage: Eukaryota; Viridiplantae; Streptophyta; Magnoliopsida; Fabales; Fabaceae
Description: Pisum sativum (pea) long non-coding RNA (PSAT_LNC006073)
Source: RNAcentral